Molecule: long non-coding RNA, 394 nt
Filed under: Homo sapiens (human)
Lineage: Eukaryota; Metazoa; Chordata; Mammalia; Primates; Hominidae
Description: HSALNT0267292
Source: RNAcentral
CGAAAGCUGUCGAAGCUUUGCAGCGGCUGUGGCACUGGGUGCGAGCCGAUGAGCGCUUCCACCGCGUCCUCGGGCGUCAGGUUGAGCGCCUCGGGGUUCAUCUGCUGGUAGUUGCUCGCCAUCCAGUACAGAUCCUCGAGGUGUGUCUUCUGUUCGGUCGGGCUGAAGCUGGGCGACGAGGGCACGGAGCUACACGGAGUGCUGAGCGGUGUGGAGGACACCGAGCCGGCUGGCUGCAGGCGUGUGCAGGGCCUGCCCGGACGCUCCGCGCGCCCCAGUGGCUCCUUCUUCACGUCGAACUUGAGCAGGUCGAAGUCGUUGACAUACUCCAUGGCCAGCGGGCUGGUGGGCAGCUCUGGCCCCAUGCUCAGCUCCGCGGCCAUCGCUGAAGCGA